This 75-nucleotide transfer RNA is filed under the name Lederbergia ruris. RNAcentral's name for it is "tRNA-Ala". It matches the Rfam family "tRNA". Rfam says of the family: Transfer RNA (tRNA) molecules are approximately 80 nucleotides in length. Their secondary structure includes four short double-helical elements and three loops (D, anti-codon, and T loops). Lineage: Bacteria; Bacillati; Bacillota; Bacilli; Caryophanales; Bacillaceae. The record is from RNAcentral.
UGGGGCAUUAGCUCAGCUGGGAGAGUGUCACACUGGCAGUGUGAAGGUCAGCGGUUCGAACCCGCUAUGCUCCAU